CGUGUUUCCGAUGAAGCCCAAUGAGGCCCAACAGUUAGUGAUAUACUCGCGCCUCCGCCUCGCUUUCCCAUCAGAUCGCCGCCGCCGCUCCCUUGGCUGUCGUCGCCGGUCCCUCUCUCUCCCGAGCGAUGGAGGAGAAAGUGUACCCUAGUUUCUCUCUCUCGAGUCUGGGAUUUGGGCCAUCCGCAUCUUCACGAAACCCCCUUCCGCCAUCGCCGGCUCCUGUGGAAGUUCUCAUCACCGAGGAGGAAUCGCUGUUGGAAUCAAGUGUGGAGCCUAUAGUCAUCGCCGAUGGGCUUACUCUUCAUAAGGGAAGAGUAAGUACCUCUGAUGUGUUCGGGUUGGCCAACUCAGAUUUAGUUCCGGGAAAAUAUGAAGGGGGCUUGAAGCUGUGGGAAGGUUCACUUGAUCUUGUUAAGAGACUGCAUUCUGAGGUCCACAAAGGCGAGUUAGUUCUCAGAGGAAAAAGUGUUUUAGAGCUUGGAUGCGGUCAUGGACUUCCAGGGAUCUUUGCAGGCCUUGAGGGCGCAUCAGUCAUUCACUUUCAAGACUUUAAUGCUGAGGUGCUUCGCAAUCUAACCAUCCCAAAUGUGAAAGUCAAUGUACAGAAACACUUAAACCAACAUGAAUCAUUGCCUAUAAGCAAGUCAUCAACUCCCAGAACCCCUAGCGUUCGUUUCUUUGCUGGUGAUUGGAAUGAAGUCCAUCAGCUUCUACUCUGCCGUUCUAAUGCUGGUCAACAAACAGCAACAGUUUCUGGUUCAGAGGGAAACUUAUGUGAUGGUUACGAUGUCAUUUUGAUGGCAGAAACUGUGUAUGAACCGUCCUCCCUUAGUAGUCUCUAUGCACUUGGCAAAAAGUGUUUGCAACAUCCUCUUGGAGUAAUCUAUAUGGCAGGAAAGAAGCAUUAUUUCGGAGUUGGUGGUGGUACAAGGCAAUUUGUAAAUUUGGUUGAAGAAGAUGGUGUAAUGACAGCUUCUUUGCUUGCUGAGGUUGCUGAUGGUUCAUCCAAUGUGCGGGAAGUGUGGAAAUUCAUGUUCAAAUAGAUUGACAAUAGAAGAAAAUGAACCAUAUACAUGAUGCUCCACUGCUUCCAUCUAAGGGAUUCCAAUUUUCUCGUGCAUUGUCCAACACACAUUGGGGCACCAUAUCAGACAAGAAUUCCAUAAAAGUAUCAAUACUAUGUGUGUUGAAUAACAUUGUCCUCACUGUGUGAGAUGGAGGAAGUUGUUCUAGCCCAUUUGUAUGAGGUCCAAUACCAGUCAAGAUCAUGUUCUGAGACAUAGGGGAAGGUCUUAAUUCACCUCCAUUCGGAGAAUUAUCUGAAAAGAUGGUCAGGGAGACACUACUCAUAAACAUCAACAUUUGAGUAUUAGAGAGGUGUAUUAAUGUGCUUAUGUCUCACUUUCUUAUUAGGAUAUUCUUGUGAUAAAUAGGAUUGCUUACCAUUUUGUUGUACUCUAAUGAUUCCGCUAGAUAAUGCUCCACUGCUUCCAUCUAAGGGAUUCCAAUUUUCUCGUGCAUUGUCCUGCACACAUUGGGGCACCAUAUCAGAUAAGAAUUCCAUAAAAGUAUGGAUAUUGUGCGUAUUGAAUAACAUUGUCCUCACUAUGUGAGAUGGAGGAAACUGUUCUAGCCCAUUUGUAUGAGGUCCAGUACCAGUCAAGAUUAUGUUCUGAGACACAAGGGAAGGUCCUAAUUCACCUCCACUCAGACAAUUACCUGAAAAGAUGGCCAGGGAGACACUACUCAUAAACAUCAACAUAUGAUGCUCCACUGCUUCCAUCUAAGGGAUUCCAAUUUUCUCGUGCAUUGUCCUGCACACAUUGGGACACCAUAUCAGAUAAGAAUUCCAUAAAAGUAUGGAUACUGUGCGUAUUGAAUAACAUUGUCCUCACUAUGUGUGAUGGAGGAAGUUGUUCUAGCCCAUUUGUAUGAGGUCCAGUGCCAGCCAAGAUCAUGUUCUGAGACACAUGGGAAGGCCCUAAUUCACCUCCUCUCAGAGAAUUACCUGAAAAGAUAACCAGGGAGACACUACUCAUAAACAUCAACAUGUGAGUAUUGGAGAGGUGUAUUAAUGUGUUUGUCUCACUUUCUUACGAGGAUAUUCUUCUGAUAAAUAGGACUGCUUACCAUUUUGUUGUACUCCAAUGAUUCUGCUGGAUGAUGCGCCACUCCUUCCAUGGAAGGGAUUCGAAUUUUCUCGUGCAUUGUCCUGCACACAUUGGGGCACCAUAUUAGAUAAGAAUUCCAUAAAAGUAUCAAUACUAUGCGUGUUGAAUAGCAUUGUCCUCACUAUGUGAGAUGGAGGAAGCUGUUCUAGCCCAUUUGUAUGAAGUCCAGUACCAGCCAAGAUCAUGUUCUGAGACACAAGGGAAGGUCUUAAUUCACCUCCACUCAGAGAAUUACCUAAAAUGAUGGUCAGGGAGACACUACUCAUAAACAUCAACAUGUGAGUAUUGGAGAGGUAUUAAUGUGUUUAUGUCUCACUUUCUUACUAGGAUAUUCUUGUGAUAAAUAGGACUACUUACCAUUUUGUUGUACUCCAAUGAUUCUGUUGGAUGAUGCUCCACUCCUUCCAUGGAAGGGAUUCGAAUUUUCUCGUGCAUUGUCCUGCACACAUUGGGGCACCAUAUCAGAUAAGAAUUCCAUAAAAGUAUCAAUACUUUGCGUGUUGAAUAGCAUUGUCCUCACUAUGUGAGAUGGAGGAAGUUGUUCUAGCCCAUUUGUAUGAGGUCCAGUACCAGUCAAGAUCAUGUUCUGAGACACAAGGGAAGGUCUUAAUUCACCUCCACUCAGAGAAUUACC
This is an RNA transcript of Zingiber officinale, 2808 nucleotides long. It is a transcript of the gene named histidine protein methyltransferase 1 homolog, with no coding region annotated. Lineage: Eukaryota; Viridiplantae; Streptophyta; Magnoliopsida; Zingiberales; Zingiberaceae. The transcript has 11 exons. The record is from RefSeq and is a predicted model, not a curated record.